AGUCCCGUAACGAGCGCAACCCUUGUCCUUAGUUACCAGCACGUAAUGGUGGGCACUCUAAGGAGACUGCCGGUGACAAACCGGAGGAAGGUGGGGAUGACGUCAAGUCAUCAUGGCCCUUACGGCCUGGGCUACACACGUGCUACAAUGGUCGGUACAGAGGGUUGCCAAGCCGCGAGGUGGAGCUAAUCCCAUAAAACCGAUCGUAGUCCGGAUCGCAGUCUGCAACUCGACUGCGUGAAGUCGGAAUCGCUAGUAAUCGCGAAUCAGAAUGUCGCGGUGAAUACGUUCCCGGGCCUU
RNAcentral lists this ribosomal RNA (300 nucleotides) under uncultured bacterium. RNAcentral describes it as "bacterial SSU rRNA". It matches the Rfam family "Bacterial small subunit ribosomal RNA", at positions 1083 to 1382 of the family's 1533-position model. The record is from RNAcentral.